This 253-nucleotide ribosomal RNA is filed under the name uncultured bacterium. RNAcentral describes it as "partial 16S ribosomal RNA". It matches the Rfam family "Bacterial small subunit ribosomal RNA", at positions 524 to 776 of the family's 1533-position model. The record is from RNAcentral.
UACAGAGGGGGCAAGCGUUAUUCGGAAUUAUUGGGCGUAAAGGGCGCGUAGGCGGCUUGGCAAGUGGAAGGUGAAAUCCCUCGGCUUAACCGGGGAACUGCGUCUGAUACUGGAUGGCUUGAGUUCGGGAGAGGGAUGCGGAAUUCCAGGUGUAGCGGUGAAAUGCGUAGAUAUCUGGAGGAACACCGGUGGCGAAGGCGGCAUCCUGGACCGACACUGACGCUGAGGAGCGAAAGCCAGGGGAGCAAACGGG